GCCAGCAUGGUGUAGUGGUUUGAGCAUUGGACUAGGACUCUGGAGAUGAGGGUUCGAAUCCCAGCUCAGCCA
This 72-nucleotide transfer RNA is filed under the name Phrynosoma platyrhinos (Desert horned lizard). RNAcentral's name for it is "tRNA-OTHER". Lineage: Eukaryota; Metazoa; Chordata; Lepidosauria; Squamata; Phrynosomatidae. The record is from RNAcentral.